UUUAAGUGCAACCAUAAGUUUCCGUACUCACCUUUGAUUAUCCGUUUCAUUUAAAUUUUUUUAUAAUUAGUAUUUUUGUUGUUAUGAGAUGAUAAAAACAUGAAUAAUACUUACUCCUAACUUAUGGUUUUUAAAUUUUUUAAAAAAGUUUUAAAAAACAAACGAUCAAAAUUGGGCAUGAAAAACCAUCACUACAAUUAAA
Oryza meridionalis is the source of this 202-nucleotide non-coding RNA. Lineage: Eukaryota; Viridiplantae; Streptophyta; Magnoliopsida; Poales; Poaceae. The record is from Rfam.